This 320-nucleotide ribosomal RNA is filed under the name Limosilactobacillus reuteri. RNAcentral's name for it is "bacterial SSU rRNA". It matches the Rfam family "Bacterial small subunit ribosomal RNA", at positions 1 to 283 of the family's 1533-position model. The record is from RNAcentral. Lineage: Bacteria; Bacillati; Bacillota; Bacilli; Lactobacillales; Lactobacillaceae.
UUUAUAUGAGAGUUUGAUCCUGGCUCAGGAUGAACGCCGGCGGUGUGCCUAAUACAUGCAAGUCGUACGCACUGGCCCAACUGAUUGAUGGUGCUUGCACCUGAUUGACGAUGGAUCACCAGUGAGUGGCGGACGGGUGAGUAACACGUAGGUAACCUGCCCCGGAGCGGGGGAUAACAUUUGGAAACAGAUGCUAAUACCGCAUAACAACAAAAGCCACAUGGCUUUUGUUUGAAAGAUGGCUUUGGCUAUCACUCUGGGAUGGACCUGCGGUGCAUUAGCUAGUUGGUAAGGUAACGGCUUACCAAGGCGAUGAUGCA